UACAGAGGGGGCAAGCGUUGUUCGGAAUUACUGGGCGUAAAGGGCGCGUAGGCGGCAUGCCAAGCGUGUGGUGAAAGCCCGGGGCUCAACCCCGGGUCGGCCGUGCGGACUGGCGUGCUCGAGCACUGUAGGGGCGGGUGGAAUUCCGGGUGUAGCGGUGGAAUGCGUAGAGAUCCGGAAGAACACCAGUGGCGAAGGCGAGUCUCUGGACGACUCCUGACACUGAGGCACGAAAGCUAGGGGAGCAAACAGG
This 253-nucleotide ribosomal RNA is filed under the name uncultured bacterium. RNAcentral describes it as "partial 16S ribosomal RNA". It matches the Rfam family "Bacterial small subunit ribosomal RNA", at positions 524 to 776 of the family's 1533-position model. The record is from RNAcentral.